This 427-nucleotide ribosomal RNA is filed under the name uncultured bacterium. RNAcentral's name for it is "bacterial SSU rRNA". It matches the Rfam family "Bacterial small subunit ribosomal RNA", at positions 355 to 774 of the family's 1533-position model. The record is from RNAcentral.
UGGGGAAUUUUGGACAAUGGGGGCAACCCUGAUCCAGCCAUGCCGCGUGAGUGAAGAAGGCCUUCGGGUUGUAAAGCUCUUUCGGCCGGGAAGAAAUCGCAUAGGUUAAUACCCUGUGUGGAUGACGGUAUCGGAAUAAGAAGCGCCGGCUAACUACGUGCCAGCAGCCGCGGUAAUACGUAGGGUGCGAGCGUUAAUCGGAAUUACUGGGCGUAAAGCGUGCGCAGGCGGUUUCGUAAGACAGAGGUGAAAUCCCCGGGCUCAACCUGGGAACUGCCUUUGUGACUGCGAAGCUAGAGUACGGCAGAGGGGGGUGGGAUUCCACGUAUAGCAGUGAAAUGCGUAGAGAUGUGGAGGAACACCGAUGGCGAAGGCAGCCCCCUGGGCCGAUACUGACGCUCAUGCACGAAAGCGUGGGUAGCAAACA